CAACCUUUCCUUUCCCCUUCUCGGCCCAUGCUAAAUUAAUCAUAUUUACUGGGGCCUCUGAAAAGGGAUCUGCAUGAUUGUCCACCAUUGCUUCGACUUGCCCCUGAUCUUUCUGUAAGAAUAUUAAUGGGCUAGGUGGAUUUUUUACCAAGGUCAUUUCUUCAUCUGGCUGGCUGGCCUUAAGCUUUUUUCUUUCUUCUUCCCCAUCAUCUUUUUCCUCAAGUAGAGGUAAAGAUAUGGGAAUAGUUGAUCCCAUAACCAGGUUUGUUUUCCUUCUGAAGCCUGCGGAGGAUUUUUCCAAUCUUUGCAACAUUUGCAACAAGGUAGUUUGCAAGUCAUCAUUAAUUAUUUUUUCUGGAACAGCCGGCCUUUUUAAAUCUUCAGGUAUUUUUGACAUAUUUCUUUGACAAGUAAGAUUUGAUCAAGAGAUCCCACCGGGCGUGCCAAAACUAUGUUCGUCUGGAGGAAUUUUCGAUAGGGUCGUUUUCUGGCCGACAAGCACACAGCUCCCCAAGAGGUUGGCGCUGGUUGAUAUUGUAUGUCGGGCUUCUGCUUAUUGGCAAGCUGUAAGAGAAGGACAGAGUUAAUUCUGAAAUGUGCCUUUGUGGGGCCUUAGGUGUAGGCCUUGAGGCUCACAAUCAAAAUUAAUUUUAGGUAUUCAGACGUGUCAUUGCCAUCUUUAGCAUGACAUAUGUAAAAUAGAUGUUUAGUUUUAAUUGUAUAUGCCCAAGAGACCAAGUUAGCUAUGAAAUGUGCAUUUGUAGGGUCUUAGGUGUAGGCCUUAAGGCUCGCAAUCAAAACUAACCAAGUACUUGAACAUAUAGUGGUUGGUUCAUUGUUGCAGAAGUAUUACAAUUGUUAUACUUUAAUCACUUGAGCCCAAAGAGCAGAACGAACCCAGAUAGGUGCCUUUGUAGAGCCUUAAGUAUAGGCUUUGAGGCUUCCCAUCAGAAUUAAUUCUAUACUCAAGCGUUCUGUGGCAAUCAUAAUAUAACAGAAGUAAAAUUAAGAAAUAGGCUGAUUACUUACGCCCUAAGUAACUUCGGACUUCUUGUUAUCAAGGAUUGUCGUGGAUGGGUUAAGUCCACAUAAAGUUCUUUUUUAUGCCUUGAGACCAAAGACUUUUGAUUGAUAAAUCUUGUAUGCCCGAAAGGUUAGAACUUAGAUCUGGUCAAGCUAUGAAUGCGGAUUCCAACUUUAUCUUUUGCAUGGUUGGGCACCAUUAAACCGACCAGAUCCAAAAACCAAGAAGCCUUUUAAUCAUAAACUUGCUAGAAAUAACUUGGAUACAGAUGGAAAUAUACAUCAUAUUACUAGAUUUAUGAAUGAAAAGACAGAACAAAGAUGGUCGGGCAAGGCUGAUCGUCUUGCAACUUUCUCUCUUUGUGAUUUACAAAGGGUUUGAGUGCUAGAAGGGGAGAUUGGGAGAUGAGUUUACAGGAGGGAAUCGAUACUACAACAAGAUUCAAACAAGGUGACAGAGCUUUUACAAAGGCUUUUGGUGAGGGUUGAUCCUGAAAAUGAUGAAGGCUUGGUGCUAAUUACAGCUUCGUAUGCAAAUCUGGCUUGAGCAGAGUUUGUGUAUUUUUUUGUUUGAUUGAGUGUCCUUAUCUCUGAUUUCUCUUUCCCUUUUUAUAGAUGAUUUGGCUUGGCUGCCUGCAGCAUCGAUCUUGCCCGAAUGCGGCUGAAGGGUAGUGACUCAUCAACUUUUUACUUGUACUGCCAUUGUAAAACACUUUUGGGCUGAUUAGCUGGCUAGUCUACACCACUUGACUUCUAGGUAGGUGAGCAAGUGGCUCAAGUGAUCUACACUUAGUCGGGAAGAGGGCUUCUUUCGCCUUCUGGGCUUCGGCUGAGCCUUGGGCUUCCUUCCUUCUAUACCUUCUUCUGGGCUAACUCCCUUUUGAGCCCAAAGUUCCAGUUUUAACCCAAACAGCUGGGAAUGGAGAUGGAGCUGAAAUUGAUGUAUUACCUCGCCCUGGUAGCUGUUGGAGUCAGUGUAUUGCUCGAGUGGUAUGGAUGGAGGGGAGGGUGGACGUGGGUAGAUAUUAGAUAAUUAUGCGUUUCUUUUUGCUUUGUUGUACCUGUGUUGUUGCUGCAUUCUGGAAUUUGAACUAGUUAAGGGCUUUGAGUCCGAAUGGGGUAAGUAGCAGCUCUUCUAGCUCUCUAUUAUAUAUGAUUUUGUAUGUAAAUUUUCAGUGCGAACAAAAGACCAAUCAUUAGAGUAAAUUUUCUCACAACCAAAGAGAGAGUGAGAGACGAGGGAAUGAGUCUUCCGGUGCAAGGGUGAAUGCCCUUAACAACUGAACUAUAUAUAAUAGCCUUUUGCACCCAAGAUCUCAUUUUAACUAGUGAAUCAUUAACAUGAGACUGGUUGGCACGUUUAAUUACGUAUGUUCAUCAAAGAUGUGUAGAGGGGGUCAUGGUGGCAUGCGUUGUGCUUCGCUUGUAUCUAGGAGGUUUGCAAGCAAAAUAUAUUGGCUCAUUACAUGGAAGGAUCGUUUUCGUCUUAUCGACAAAUAACAAUUUGACACAUGCAUGAAAGCUUUUGUCAUGUUCAUUUUCAUUUUUCUUUUGUCAAAUAUAAGGGAAAAUUGCCAAACUGAAAACAUUAAGCAAUUCAAACUCCUCUAGGCUAAGAUGAUCUAGUUCAACAAUUUUUUAAUUUAUUUGGGAUGUUCUACUAUAGGAAUUCAGUUAAUUAGACUUGCUUCUUCGUUAAUUAAUUCGUCUCAAAGAAACAAAAAUGUGUGCUUGAUCCAAUAGAAUUAGGUGUGGCAAAUUUGGGUAAAAAUUGUUAUGUUGUUUUAGAGGAAAAUAAUUUAAGAGAGUGAGAGAAUUCUAUUCGAGAGUUUCAUAGUAGUGUGUUACAAAUGUGAGGCAUAGCCACCUUUAUAUAGUGGUGUGGCUAUCCUAGAAAAUUACAAAAAUAACCCUAAUUCAAUAGAAAGAAUCAAUUGACUAACAUUACAACAAUUAUACCAAUUAGUGGACAAAAAUAAAUAUCAUGCGACUUAUACCAAUUAGUGGAAGUACAUAAAUAUCUUGCAACAUAUGUCAACUAAAUUAGAUUAAUUAAUUUUAAUUUGUGGUACUCUUCUCUUCCACCUUUGGAAUAAGAAACAAUGAAAUGUCUCAUGUGCAUCUGGUGAGAAUUUAAAUAACAUAUAUAUUUAUUUUAUUUAGUAAUGUUGACGAUAUUACAAUAAUUUGUGUAAUAACUGAAGAUAUUCAUGCCCAGCAAAUCGGCACGAAGAAGAAUAUUAUUCAUAAAUUAGAUACACGUAGAACAAAUUUGGUAAUGUCUAGCAAAUAAGAUUAGCAGUAAUCAAUGUUGAUAAUUCCUGCCACCGGGUUAGCAAUUUUGGCGAAAGCCGGUUGAGAGAGGUCAAGUGUGGAUUGACAUCCAGGACAAUGAUCAACGAUCUUUACUCUAACCGUCGAGUUGGUGCAUGGAUGUGGAACUGGAUUUCGAGAUCCAGUGCAUUUGACGUUAUAAAACUUUCCACAUCCAGCACCAUUGUUCCAUAUGGCAUCACCUGCAGCAGCGAUCAAAAUGCCUUGUGGUGUAUUCCCGUAGCAUGCUGAGGCUGUAAAAACAAAAAAGAUAUCCACCUUUGAUCAAUUUUCCUUAAAAAGGUCGAAUAUUGUUAGUUCUACCUAUAUACAGUUUAUGAAAAGGACAUUUCGUUAAUUAUAUUUAGUUCGUGUUAUGUCAUAUUUAUAUACAAUGUUUUCUUCGUCUCCAGAAGCUCAAUAUAGUGGUUCAAAGAAAAAAGAAGAGUGAAGAAGAAAGCAAGCUAACGAAUAUAGCUUGAGUAGAAAGUAGCAAUUCCUGGUGUGCCUACUGAUGCCCAGAUAAAGCUUGCAACAAUGCAUAACACAACUAAAAUGUUCUUCGGCAUUUGUUCUUCUCUCUUACGUUGUCAAAACUCAGAUAAAUAUUAUAACUUUAUUCUUUUCAAAAGAGUUCAUGCGUACUAUAAUACGUUGGUAUGGUCACAUCCCUUUAUAUAAUGGAUUGUAUAUUAAUACAAUACAUGAAUGCUAGGCAUUUCUUCAAUCGAACAAUGUAUUUGUACCAGAAUUUUUAUUGGAUGAGAUGUACAUAUACCACAAGUUUUGGAAGGACAAAAGUUUAAGGUAUUCAAAUUAAUGUAAUUCAAUAUUCUAGAAAUACCAUUUAUUUACUUUUUAAUAAUAUCCUUUAUAUUGGUUGCUUUCCAUUUCAAGUUUUUGAGGCUCCCAUUUUUGGUAAUCUUUAAACCUUUGAAUGAAGAUAAUGAUGAUUUAAAAAUAAAAAAUGAAGGAAUUUUCUAUUUUCAAAUUAAAGUGUUUAACCAAUUUACGUAAGUAAACUUUAAAAUUUUGUAGAGAGACGAGUGAUAUGAUAUUAUUAGUUAUGAAUUUUUAUAUUCGAUUGAUGUGAAAAUUAGAAUCAAUAUCUAAUCUAGCAAAAAAUAAAUUAAUUACCAUAAAGAAGCCAGAGAUGUUGGACCAAAUAACCGGUCACAUAUGAGGAUAUGAAAAAUGGCAAUCUCUCAAAAUUUGAAAGUGGGUGUUACAAAUCACCUUACGCGAAUUAGCGAUAAAGAAACUAGAGAUAGGAAAAAACAUAUAUGUUUAAUAGGCCUUUUAAGGCAAUUGGAUUUAGGGUUCCGUACAUUUGUUUUCAUGUGUGAACGAGUGAGAUUUAACUAUACGAUUUGUUUAGCUAGAGACUAGAAGCAUUCCAAUCCAAUCCAAACCUAACAUGAGCCCAUUUGAGAAAUUAAUCUAAGAUGACCCUUAGCCCAAAUGAAUAUGUACGACGGUGUCAUUAUUGGAUGUCGUACGGUUCCAUCCUUGAAAAGUUGAAAAUUUGGGUGGGGUUGUGUAAGUGGUGUGGAGAGAGAGAAAAAGAGGAGAGAGGAAGGCACAAAGCACCCACUUUGUUUUCAUCGAGUCCAAGAGUUGGAAGUGGAGGUAGGUCUCUUGGUCUCCGUCUCAGAAGACUUGAACACACAUAGUCUCCCUCUGCACUCGGAUCACACAGAGAAGCAAGGAAGAAUGUCAGGCGUCACGAACCAGGAGGAGGACAAGAAGCCCACCGAUCAGUCCGCCCACAUCAACCUCAAAGUCAAGGGCCAGGUCCCCUUUCUCUCUCUCUCCCCCCCCCUCUCCUCUCUCUCUCUCUCUCUCUCUCUCUCUCUCUCUCUCUAGGUUUUGUUUUUGUUCAUGGAAAUUAUGUGUUAAUCGUGAUCAGAACAUACCCUACAAAAUUGGGGGUUUUUUUUUUUGAGUGUUUAAUGAAGCAUGUUUUGUUCUUCCUAUGUUUGAUGUCUGUCUUACCUUUGUUUGUUUUUUUUUUUUUGGUUGUGCCUGAAAUUACUGUUCAAUAAACCCUAAAUUGACCUUAAUUUCUCAAUAUUUUGGAGAUUUUACUAUAUGCGAGUGUAAAGUUUGCUGACAAUGGAUACUUUGGUGCACGUUGUAUGUGAAUUAUUGUUAAUGCUGGAAAUGUAUUGGUUUUGGUUAUGUAGGAUGGGAAUGAAGUGUUUUUCAGGAUCAAGAGAAGUACCCAACUGAAGAAGCUUAUGAACGCAUACUGCGACAGACAGUCGGUUGAAUUCAACUCUAUUGCAUUCCUGUUUGAUGGCCGUCGUCUGAGAGCCGAGCAGACCCCUGAUGAGGUUCGUUUCUUUAUCUAUCUCCCGAUAUGUCAGUAUGUGUGUGAAUUUUUUGACUUCUGACUGAUUAUUGUUCUUCUCCUGCAGUUGGAAAUGGAAGAUGGGGAUGAAAUAGAUGCAAUGCUGCAUCAAACUGGAGGUUCUUUUGCCUAAUCAAUGAAUAUAGAAGGUUGUUUUCCUAGUAGGAGCGAAGUAUAUGUAGACUUUAAACUAUCGCGAAGGCUGAUGUUUGAACUUUGAGUAUCUGUCAACACUUUGAGUAUCUAGAUGUUUGUCAGUACCUGGCAAUUGUGUGUGUAAUAAGUAUGGUGGUAUUGUUUCAAAGUAUAUGAGGUAUGGCUUCUGCUUUACAUUCUCUCUGUGUGGCCUAUUCUUUUUAUUCUUAGCACUAAUAUCUGGCUGUUCUUCAUGUGACUUGUAUUUUUUAUGUGUGUGUCCUGAAUGGUGGUCUACACAUUUGUGAAUAAUGGUUAAAGUUUGAUCAUGAGGGAGCAGAUGGAUGCAUUUUGAGACCUCUCUGUAACAAAUCCUUGGCUGUCAAUUGACUUGUCAAGAUGAAAUUGUUGCUUGACAUGUCAACUGCAUGCUGAAUCUUGAGGAUGAUCGUCGUGGGUGAGUAGUGUUGGCUUUGGAUAUAAUAGCAUGAAUCACAUUAAAAAUCAACAACAUUGUGACACGAAAAUGUGUCAUCAUUGACGUUGAUGAAGUGUUAUUUGCAUUAGGAACCAGUUUGUCCUGUCUAAGCUUCUCUGGUGGUCAGGUCAUCUUAGGAUGUUAGGGGUCUGUUGGGUUCCUAGGUUUGAAGUGGAUUGGAUAACUCAUGAAGUUCAAGGUAUGUUGAAGGUGGAGGUGAUCAGACAUGAAGGAAACAAUUUAUCUCAUUUCUUCCUUCGACAUUCCUUGAAGUACAAGGAGUUAGCCAAUCUAUUCGAUUACUGGACACCAAACAAGCUCUUAAAUUUGAGUGUUUUUGUAGUUCUCGUGUUUAGCUUAUUGCAUUUGCUUGGUAUGUUUGACUUGUUUGACGUUUAUCAAGAAUUCGCUGAGGACUCAAAACACACUUUCUGUUCAACAUCGAAAUAUAUAUGAACUUUCAUCUCUGCAACUCUCUGUACCACGUUAACCAGCUUACGACCAUCGAUUGUUUCCAAAAUUAAGGGGUUGAGAGUGGCUGCAUCUAACUGGGUGGACGGACUGUGAUGGUUGCAACAUCCUCUCAGGAAGACGUUGGCCUAUUGCCAAACCAGGGGACCAAAAUGGGGAAGGCAUAUCCCAUACUCCACCAAGUUUUCUUUUGUGCAGCAAAUUAUGAGUGCGACUUUUGUGGGGGUCAUUUUCCAUUUGAUGUGAGAUGGAAUUUUCUAGUCCAACUCUUAUCUCUUAUUCCAUGUAUUCACUUGUUACUUAUUACAGGCUGUGAAUUAAGAUGCACCAGCUUUCCCAUUUUAAUUGUCUAUUAGAUGGAUAUUGCACUUUUCAAGCGUGUUACAAAUAUUUAUUGAUUGGUAACGCCAUUGAGACUAAAUCUUGGUUGAGUUUGAUCAGAACCACUUUGGGUGAAAAAUUGGUGUGGUCGAGACUAGUGUCAAAUGACAAUAAAAACGAACAUCUACAUUAAUAUCAACAAAAAAAAAUGUUAAAAGAGGCAGAUUGGCUCAAAGUCAUCCCACUUAUAAACACCAUGUUGUUUAAAACGAAAAUUAAUGAAAAUGGCUUGAAAACUUUGAGUUUUAAUAAUAAGGACAAAAUAAAGGGUAAAGUGAAUAGUACCAGGAUUGACUUUUUAGUGUAAAAAUGUGAUUUUUCGUUAAAGUGAACAGUACUGAGUGCUUUUCGUUAAAGUUCUCUUGUUUAAAAGCAACAUAGCCACAUCGUGGAAUGAGAUCUAGUCCUGAUCGGAACUCUGAGAGAUCCAGAGCUUUCAAGAGAAAGAUCUGUUGAAUAUUUAAAAAAUAUAAUAUAUAUAUAUAUAUAUGUUUGACGGAAAGUUGGGUUAUCGACCCAACAAUUAUAUCUUUUCAAAUUAGCAUUGCAACCUUUUUGCUAAUACCUAACGGUUGCUGCAUGUUUUACAACAUAUAUGACCUUUGGGUAAUUGGUGUUUGUAUCAGAUAUGUCCAUUGGACAUAAUGCUGCAAUGUGUUGUAUCCCAUGGUGAAAAGACAUACUCAAAUCAAAGGAUGUGUCCAAAGGGUGUAAUUCUCUCUAUAUAUAGUGGUGACAUUAGUAGAAAAUGAUCAUUCAGAAAUUUGUUGUCUACAUAAUUUCUUUGCUCUCUUUUCUCUCUACAUCACAUUCAUACAAUUUCUUUCUAGUUAUUUCUAAGGGAAUAUAAUUCGAUUUUGCUAAUCGAAUAUUCCAUACUUUGUUGUAUCCUAGAAGUGAUUUGCCAAGAAUCCUUUAGCAAACUCAUUCAAGUGGGGGCAAAUAACACUUUAAGGAAACGAUUUAAGUCGUACCUCAAAGUCAUUAUUCGGAUUAUUCUCCAUAAUUCUACAUUUACUCUAACAAUCUUAAAGUGUUAUUUUCGUCAUGGAUAACAAAUCUGAUAACAUAGCUUUGAAGAUUAUCAAUCAAGAUGUCUACAAGUUAGACAAAUUUGAUGGAUCAAAUUUCACCCGAUGGAAGGACAAGAUGCGUUUCAUGCUUACUGUUCUAAAUGUUAUAUAUGUGUUGGGCCCGAAAUUGGAGCCUAUUUGUGAACCAAGUGACAAAGACUAGGACAAUAUAGUUGUCGAUCGAAAGAAGUGUGAAGAAGAUGAAUUGGUAUGUCGAGGACACAUCUUGGGCACAUUAUCUGAUCGUUUAUAUGACCUGUAUGAACACAUUCAAUUUCCAAAGGAAAUUUGGGAAGCACUUGAACACAAGUACACAAUGGAAAAAAGAGGUACCGAUAAAUUUUUAAUGUUCAAAUAUUAUGAAUUCACUAUGGUUGAUAACAAACCCAUCCUAGACCAAGUUCAUGAAUUAUUGGUCUUGGUCUCAAAGCUUCGUGAACGUAAAAUAGUUAUUCCGGAUCCUAUGAUAGUUGGGGCUAUUAUAGCAAAAUUACCCCAAACAUGGAAUAACUAUAGAAAGAAACUUCUACACAUGGUGGAAGAUAUUAGUUUGGAGAAUUUGCAAAAGGGUAUUCAAAUUGAAGAGGAAACUCGAAAUCGUGAUAAGAAUUUUACAAAUCAAGAUUUCUCUAAAAUUCACAUUGUCGAAGGAAACAAAUAUAAAAAGAACUUCAAAGUCAAAAUUGACAAAGGGAAGUUUAAGAAGACCAAUUCCAACAACAAUCAAAAGAAUGCAAAUGGUGUAUGUUACCAUUGUGGAAAGAAAGACCAUUACAUUCAUGAUUGUAGACAGAGAAAAGCAAGUAAGGAAUAUGCCAAUAAGACCAAUAGCACAAAUAUGGUGGAAAACUCUGGAAUUGAUAACAUUGUUGCAAUUGUAUCAAUGAUGCAUAUUGGCAUGAUUACCGAACUGAAUAUGACAGCGGUAAUAAAAUCCUCCGAUUGAUGGCUCGACUCAGGGGCUACUAUACAUGUGUGCAAUGACAAGGCAUAAUUCAAGACAUAUGAAGCAUCAACGGACAAUCAAGAAGUUUUAAUGGGGAAUCAUAAUUCCGCCAAAGUUCUAGGAAAAUGAACCGUUGAACUUCAAUUUACUUCUGGGAAGAAAUUGACGUUGCUUAAUGUACUGCAUGUUCCAGAAAUUAGAAAGAAUCUUGUGUCUGCAAAUUUAUUAUGUAAGAACGGUAUAAAGACUGUUCUAGAGUCCGACAAGUUAAUAAUGUUGAAAAAUGGGAUGUUUGUUGGAAAUGGAUAUUCUUGUGAUGAGAUGUUCAAACUAAGUAUUAAUAAUAAAGUGAAUUCCUUUAUUUAUAUUGUUGAAUCUUCCUCUCAUUUAUGGCAUUUACGUUUAGCACAUAUAAAUUUUAGAUUUUUAAAAUACAUGCGCACACUUGGUUUUAUUGCUUGCAAUGAUGAUUAUAAUGAUAAAUGUGAAACAUGUAUUCAAGCGAAAAUGACUAAGAAACCUUUUCCAACUACCGAAAGAAAUACAAAUUUAUUAGACUUAAUACAUUCUGACAUAUGUGAAUUUAAUGGUGUUUUAACAAGAGAAGGAAAAAGAUAUUUUAUCACAUUUAUAGAUGAUUGUUCUAAAUUUACUUAUGUUUAUUUAUUGUCUAAUAAAGAUGAAACUUUUGAGUGUUUUAAGCGCUAUAAGGCUGAAGUUGAAAACCAAAAGGGAAGGAAAAUUAAAUGCCUCCGUAGUGAUAGAGGUGGUGAAUAUUUUUCAUAUGAAUUUGAUAUUUUUUGUGAGGAGCAUGGUGUUGUACAUCAAAGAACUGCACCCUAUACACCACAACAAAAUGGUUUGGCAGAAAGAAAAAAUAGGACAAUCACUGAAAUGAUUAAUUCUAUGAUGAUUAAUGCUAAUACUCCAAAAUAUUUAUGGGGUGAAACAUUGUUUACUGCAUGCCAUAUACAAAAUAGAAUUACAUCUAUGAAGACACAUGUGUCACCAUAUGAAAUUUGGAAAGGAAGAAAACCAAAUUUGUCAUAUUUGAGAGUAUGGGGUUGUGUAGCUUUUUAUAAGGCACUCGAUCCUAAGAUAUCCAAGUUGGGUCCAAGAGGAAUUAAAAGCAUAUUUGUAGGUUAUGCAGAAAAUUCAAAGGCAUAUAGGUUGCUUAAUUUAGACUCGAACGCAAUAGUUGAGUCUAGAGAUGUCGAAUUUAUAGAAAAUAAAUUCUAUAAUGACUACUCAGUGUCUGGAAAAGAGAAUGAUCAAACACAUUUCUCUAAUCCGUCUACUAGUCAAUCUCAAUGUGAGAAAAGAAAACAGUCUGAAACUGUUAAUGAACCAAGGAAAAGCCAAAUGGUAAGAAAAGAAAAGACUCUAGACCCUGAUUUUAUUUCAUCUCAAUCUAUUGUAUUUUUAGUCGAAGGAAAUAGAACAAAGGUUCUUAAGAAAAUACCCAUAUUGUUGAAUGUUGAGGAUGAUCCUAAAAGUCUAAGCGAAACAUUGACUUCAAGAGAUGCAGCCUUUUGGAAAGAGGCUAUAGAUGAUGAAUUUGAAUCAUUAAUAUCUAAUCAGACAUGGGUUAUAGUAGACUUGCCCCAAGGAUAAAAAGCAAUAGGUUGUAAGUGGGUAUUUAGAAGAAAAUACAAUACAAAUGGGUCUAUUCAGACAUUCAAAGCCAGACUAGUUGCCAAAGGUUUUAAGCAAAAAAAGGGAAUAGACUAUUUCGGUACAUAUGCACCAGUAGAUAGGCUCACAUCAAUUAGAAUAUUGUUUGCAUUGGCAUCUUUAUAUAAUUUGCAUGUGCAUCAAAUGGAUGUGAAAACGGUCUUUUUAAAUGGUGAUUUAGAUGAAGAAGUCUAUAUGGAACAACCAGAAGGGUUUGUUCUCCCUGAGAAUGAAAAGAAGGUUUGUAAAUUAGUAAAGUCAUUAUAUGGAUUGAAGCAAGCACCAAAAUAAUGGCAUGAAAAGUUUGAUUUUGUCAUUUUAUCAUAUGAAUUUAGACAUAAUAGUGCUGAUAAAUGCAUAUACUCUAAAUUCACAAAUGAUUAUAGUGUUGUUAUAUGUUUAUAUGUCGACGACUUGCUAAUUUUUGGUACAAACAUGAAAGGUGUAUCUGAAACUAAAGAGUAUCUAAAUUCAAAAUUCAAGAUGAAGGACUUGAAUGAAGUAAAUACUAUCUUGGGAAUUAAAGUAAAGAAGCAUAGUGGGGGUUACGCUUUAUGUCAGUCACAUUAUAUAGAAAAAUUGAUUUUUAAGUUUAAGCAUCUACAAAUAAAAGAAGCAAAUACCCCUUAUGACCCUAGUGAGAUUUUGCUUAAUAAUUAUGGUAGGUCUGUUGCACAGCUUGAGUAUACUAGUGUAAUCGGAAGUUUAAUGUAUGUCAUGCAUUGUACCAGGCCAGAUAUCGCAUUUGCAGUAAGCAAACUUUCUAGAUACACUAGUCAUCCAGGUACUGCUCAUUGGAAAGCAAUAAAUAGAAUUUUUGGUUAUCUUAAAAAAACUAUUAAUCUGAGUUUAACUUACUCUGAGUUUGCAGCAGCACUUGAAGGAUAUUCAGAUGCAAGUUGGAUAACAAGUGCUAAUCAGGGUGAAUUUUAACAAUUGGGAUGAUCAAUUUCUUGCAGGCAUGAAGAAAAAUUUUUUACAAUUGCCGGAUGAAGCACAUUUCUUGGGCUUCAACUAUGGAAACAUUGUAUAGCACAUGAAUUUCUGAAUUAUAGCAUUAACAGCAGCAGGUAAAGAAGCGGAAUGGAUUAUUAGAAAUUUGUUAUUGGAAAUAGAGUUGUGGCCACAACCAAUGCCAUCCAUUUCUUAUAUUUGUAUAGUGAGGCUACUUUGUCUAGAGCAUACAAUAAGGAUAUACUAUGGAAAGUCUAGACAUAUUAGCUUGAGUCAUGAAUAUGUCAAGCAAUUAAUAACUGAUGGAGUUAUUAAUAUUGUUUAUGUUAAAUCAAAGUAAUAACUUGGCGGAUUCGUUAACGAAAGAACUUUCAAGAGCUUUGGUAGUUAGUACAUCUAGUGGAAUGGGGCUAAAACCCUUUAUUGAAAAUUAGCCACCAAUAAUGGUAACCCAACUUUCUCUAGAACAUCACUAGUUUAAAAGUUUAAUGGGUAAUAACAAGUUAUUGUUUAAGUGGUUGUGAAAGCAUUGAAAAUUAUUAUAUAUAGCUCAUUCCAGGAUGGUGAUCAGCUGCACUGAUGAAUUUAUCUAGAAUGAGUUUUUAGUUUAAAAUAUAGAGGUUAUUUGUAGUUAUCACCUUAUAGUAGCAUGGACAUGGGAAGGAACCUCACCUUAUUAAAGAAAAUUAAGAAGUAGUGCCUUUCUUUUCAAGAGUUGGAAAUGUUCAUGAAACUAGGAUGAAGCACAAGAUCAUAAUAGUGCUUAAUUAGUUCAGAAAUUUCUUUAAAGAAAUAAGACAUAAUCAUGUGUGUAGUGAUUCUGGUUUUAACAUAAGAAUAGGUGGUUUAAACUUAGGUCACCAUCGCAUUCGUUAUAACUUUGAAUUACUUACACUAAUUAAAGGUUUAAUUCGAAAGAAACCUUUAUUGUAUGCAUGAUUAUAUCGGUAUGUUUGUGAUAAUUAUAAAGAGAGAGUUGUAAUAUCAUUUUCUAUAUAUUUUUAAAAUAGGGAAGGAUUGUUGAAUAUUUAAAAAAUAUAAUAUAUAUGAGGCUGUUUGAUGGAAAGUUGGGUCAUUGACCCAACAAUUAUAUCUUUUCAAAUUAGCAUUGCAACAUUUACCCACCGGUUGCUGCAUGUUUUACAACAUAUAUGAUCUUUGGGUAAUUGGUGUUUGUAUCAGAUAUGUCUAUUGGACAUAAUGCUGCAAUGUGUUGUAUCCCAUGGUAAAAAGACAUACUCAAAUCAAAGGAGGUGUCCAAAAGGUGUAAUUCUUACUAUAUAUAGUGGUGACAUUAGUAGAAAAGAAUCAUUCAGAAAUUUGUUAUCUACAUAAUUUCUUUGCUCUCUUUUCUCUCAACAUCACAUUCAUACAAUUUCUUUCUAGUUAUUUCUAAGGGAAUAUAAUUUGGUUUUGCUAAUAGAAUAUUACAUACUUUGUUGUAUCCUGAAAGUGAUUUGCCAAGAACCCUUUAGCAAACUCAUUCGAGUGGGGGCAAAUAACACUUUAAGGAAAUGAUUCAAGUCGUACCUCAAAGUCAUUAUUCGGAUUAUUCUCCAUAAUUCUACAUUUACUCUAACAAGAUCUGCACAGUUCAAUUUUUUUAGUCUUUGUGAAGCAAAUCAAUGGGAUGGUUAAGGGCGCCGUAAGAUUGAAAUUGAUUGUUCCAGAUAUCUCGGUCCGCAGACUCCAGAUACAGAGAUCCAAAGUGUAUACUAAUUUAUUUUCGCAUUCAACGUAAAUAUAUCUAUCUAUCAAAACAGAAAAUAGAAAAAUAUGAAUUUAAUUGCACAUUUCAAUUAAUACCCUCUUAAAAUUAUUCAAUAAUAAAAAUUGUAGAAUACGCUGGCUUUUCAAAUUUAAAAAUGCCCAGCCAACAUCUUUAUAAAACCAGAUAUCAUUCCAUGUACAGAAAGGCUAUGCAGCUAAAAUGUGGCCAACAAAAUAUUUGGGGUUGUCUAAUUUCUCCUAGCCGUUUAAUCAACUUUACAUGGGCCCACAUAAUUACUAUUUGGAGCAAAAUUAUGCCAGAUAUUAUUACCUGAAUUUGGUCAAAAACAUUCAUUAGGGAAAUCUGAUUUCACGUCCUUUAAAAGUUAUAAUAAUUGUAACCGUUGAAUAAAAUUUCAACGGUCCAAUAGGCUUGCUUAGAAGGAUCCUCACCCUUAGCUCAGGAGAGGAUCCUGAUCCACGUGGGAGCACUUGAUAUGUAUUUAAUCAAUUUCAAAUCCAAAGUAAAGCUCAAUUGGUCUGUUUUUUCUUUUUCAGGAAUUUUUUUUUUUACAGAUAACAUGAAACUAUUGAUAGAAAUGAGUUUCAUCUUAUAAGACAUAGUGUAAUAUGUCUUAUAAGAUAAAACUCUUCAGAAUCGUCAACACGUUCGUGAAUACAACUAUAACUUUUUUCAUUUGAUGAGUUUGUACAUUUUUUUCGCACCCAACCAAAAUCUUGUAAAUAUAAUGGCUUAUAAGUUAUAGUCAUUUAUUUACUCACCUCUUAGUAUAAAUGUACCGUUGUAUAAAAAAAACUAUGGUCAUUUGCUAACUAAAUUCUGGUGUAACAUGUCUAAAUAUUUUUGAAUACUUUUACCAUGGAUUGUAGCCUUUUUGGGGUAAUUUGUGAUUAACCAAUCAAUGGGGGAAUCCAUUUAUUAAGCUCGCGUGGUCUUGGCCCCACACUACUGAGCAGGAGUAUAAAUAGGGGCCUGUGGGAGGGGUAGGAAGAAAAGAGAGUGAGAAACACAAUAAUAUUACGGAGGACAUGAAGCAAGGUAUUGUCCUCCAAUGGGUUUCUCUACUCUCCAUUUUCGCUCUCUUUUCCUUGUCUCAGACUCAGUCCUUCGACUACGGCGAAGCUCUCUCCAAGAGUCUCCUCUACUUCGAGUCCCAACGUUCCGGCCGCUUGCCCCACAAUCAACGGGUCACCUGGCGUCACCAUUCCGGCCUUGACGAUGGCCUAGAACAAGGGGUCAGUUAACCAUUUUAUCAUUACAAUCAUCAAUCAUAUACAACGUGUUUGUAGCUCAGUUAGUUAGCAUUCAUUCGAGGCUCUGCAUUCGAUUAUCCCAAUAUUGCUGUAUAAAAGCAAAAACAUCAAUCCUAAUUAUGUAUGCAUGUGUUUGAUGUGAUGUAUUUCGUCUGGCGUUUUCACGUAUGUUUUUCAGGUGGACUUGGUGGGAGGGUACUAUGAUGCAGGUGACAAUGUGAAAUUUGGUCUGCCAAUGGCUUUUACCAUAACAAUGCUGUCUUGGGGUGUCAUUGAGUACGGCAAACAAAUAGAGGAUGCUGGAGAGUACAAUCAUGCCUUAGAAGCUAUCAAAUGGGGGACUGAUUAUUUCAUCAAGGCUCAUACUCACCCAAAUGUUUUGUGGGCUGAGGUAAUAGUAAUAAUGAAAUAAAACUAUCGAAAACUCUCAAAGUCUGACAUGUUAUUAAACUUUGAUUUAAAUGUGAAAUAGAUUCAUAGUCUGUCAACAUUGUCAUAUAUGAUAAUUUUUAAUACUUUAGACUGUCAAUAGCUUGGGUCGGUCAAUAAAUUUACUAUAUGAGUCUAUGAUUGUUAGGUGGGAGAUGGAUCGACGGAUCACUACUGUUGGCAAAGGCCGGAGGACAUGACAACAUCUCGACAAGCCUACAAGGUCGAUGAGAACCACCCCGGGUCAGAUAUUGCAGGUGAGACUGCGGCGGCAAUGGCAGCGGCUGCCAUUGUGUUUAGGAAAACCAACCCACAUUACUCUGGCCUACUUUUACACCAUGCACAACAGGUAACAUAUUUAAUUAGUCUGAUGACGAUAUAUACACAGAAAUAUACAAGGUUGAUAUACCACUAUGCAAAGGUUGGUGUACUGGUUACCAAAGAACAAUGGCUUUGGUUAAAUAAAUACGUACUCUUAAAUAUUUGAUAUAAAUUUAUUCAAUCUAUUUAACAUAUAAUUAAUUUGGGAAUUGGAUUUGUUGGCAGUUGUUUGAGUUUGGUGACAAAUAUAGAGGUAAAAUAUGAUGAGAGUAUUGAAGUGGUGAAGGGGCACUACACAUCUUGGAGUGGUUACAUGGAUGAGUUGCUCUGGGCAGCAUUGUGGUUGUACACAGCCACACAGAAUGAGGAUUAUUUGAACUAUGCUUUGAACAAUGCUCAGUCUCUUGGGGGCACCACUUGGGCCAUCAAAGAGUUUAGCUGGGAUGUUAAGUAUGCUGGUGUUCAAAUCAUUGCUUCAAUGGUACAUAAACUCAAACUUGAUCACCUAUCUAAUUCUCUUUAAUUUCCAUCUCAUUAGUAAAUAGAACUAUACUAGGUUAGACGAGAAGCUGAUUGUAGCCGGUGGCACAUUGUGAGACUUACAAUUUAUCAACUAUCAUAAUACAUAGUUUCAAAUCAAGUCAUCGACUUGUUGACCCUAAAAACUACUAAACCUAUGUGGCGCGCAGGCCGAGUAAUUAGUAAGCUAACUACGUCCUUCGGUUGUAUGUGAGGCGUGCCAACUCGUCAGCCAAACUCGGGCGAGGAGUAAAAUUUGUUGAUGUUGCGUUGAGCGCACGGCUGACUUCUUGAUCUUGAACACUCUCGGCCUUUGGGUUUUAGAGCAUGAAGACAAGGCUGCUAGUCUGCGAAGUUCACAAAUCGUCGGCUCCGGAUUCGGUCACGGUGAUUAUGUUCGUGAGAGUAUAAGCACGCCGAAUCGACACUAGAGUAUAAGGACACAAAUACUCAAAACAAAUGUACGUCUUGAUUGUGAAAGUGGUUCGACCGUCAGAAUGCCGAACUCUAAAACCUACUUGCGAAUACCCAAUCAUAAACAACUCGGCGUUCGAUGUGCCGAGCCUUAGUAAGACCUCAUUUCGCCGAGAAGGCUGAUGAGAUAACCUCUGCCAACAAGGAUCCGAAAAUCCUUCUCGACUAAGACUUAGAUAGAUAACCAGUCGACCCUGUUGCAGUGCUGUUUAUCCAAACUGAAGGUGCUUCACGGUCGGCUGAUUUUAUGGCAACAAUGCUGUUUAUCCAAACUGAAGGUAUGUCAGCGGAAAAAGAAAGUAAAAAUCUCAAAGUUGUUGAGAGGUUUCGUGUAAAGCGAGAGUUUGCACAGGGCAAUUUUUGUGUUGAAUUGGAGGGAGUUUGUUUGAUGUCCACCCUCCCUAUUUAUAGUAGCCAACGUGCGUUGAAUCCCAAUCAUUCUCGAAUUAGAACUCUUUUCCUUGAUCCAACCUUAUCUCGGCCAAUCUUACUCCUACUAUGACUUUGAACUUAACUCAUUAUCAGGCCGCAUUAAAUCUCAAACUCCAGCAUCUUUUUCUUGUCGAAACUCUUUCUUGUAAUAGGACUCACUUGCAUCCCACAGGUUCCUGACGGGAUAUGGCCAGCUUCGACUGCGUGGCCCAUGAGCUGGACAACCCCCAAUGACACCUAAACACGGCCUCUGGGCCGAGAACAAUUCUAAACUCGGCCCGACCAAUACUGGGCCGAGAACAAUUAUAAACUCGGCCUAAACCAAUAUUUUUGGGCCUAAACACGACCACACAAUUAAUGCAUCACUGACUCAAGAUUUGUUUGAAAUUACUUGUUUACAAAAUACUACUGCUCAUAAGUAUUCUAGUGAAACAACUUCUAUUAGAAGCACAUAAAAAAUUUCAUGAAAUGCACGUGGUUCAUGAAAAAGCACUUGAAAUGCAUUAUUAAAAAGAAAUAAAAACAAGUGCUUAAUUGUUGAAAGCACUUCAAAUGCCUCUCUUAACUCAAGAGCACUUUGAAUUUUUUUCCCAAACAUUAUCAAAAGCACUUUCAGUUAUUUCAAAAGUUUUUCCAAAGAGUCCCUCAAAGCUACCCACCCUUAUAUUGACUGAACUUAACAUCCUUCUCUAAGGAUAAUACUUGCAUUCCCUUCUUGGGGGAUAAGCUCAUUCCUCCACUUAUAAAUAACGUAUCUAGAGAUUGACAUGGUUCUGAUUAUGAAAUUUUUAGGCUGAAGCUACGCUAUUUGCAAGUGUGGAAAUGACUUCAUUCCUCCAAGAGGAAUUCAAGCAUUAUUCUUUCUCUAAAUUUAAGUAAACUUUUUUAUUCACACCAUACAACGCACAACAUUCUAAUACAACUAGUGUGUCUCAAAUCUUUAUUAGAUCUCACCUCUAGCAUCAGUCAUGUGAUUAACUGUCUGAUUUGUAAAUUAACAAAUAUUUAGUUUAUUUGUUUCAAUUCCUUAACUCUCACAUACGUUUUCUUUUUCAGUUGCUAAAGGAAGAGAGACACAAGCAACACAUGCAAAUACUGCAACAGUAUCGUUCAAAAGCAGAGUUUUACAUGUGUGCUUGCCUCGACAGAAACAACGUAGCCAACGUGCAACGCACCCCAGGAGGCGUGUUGUACAUCCGCCAAUGGAACAACAUGCAAUACGUCUCAAACGCAGCGUUUCUACUCACAACGUACUCUGAUUAUCUCCAAGCCACUCAUGAGAAUCUUACUUGCGACAAAGGACAGGUGAGCCCACAAGAAAUCUUAUCUUUUGCCAAAUCACAGGUUGAUUACAUUCUGGGGUCCAAUCCAAUGGCCAUGAGCUACUUAAUUGGGUAUGGACCAAAAUACCCUCAAAGGGUGCACCACAGGGGAGCAUCCAUUGAUUCGUAUAAGAAGAACAAGGGUUUCAUUGGGUGCACUCAGGGGUACGAUAGCUGGUAUGGGAGGCAGGGUCCAAACCCUAACGUGCUUGUUGGGGCACUGGUUGGUGGGCCCGAUGGGAACGAUGGAUUCAGGGACGAGAGGUGGAAUUACAUGCAGACUGAGGCAUGCACUUACAACACUGCAACAUUAGUUGGGGUUCUUGCUAAAUUGGAUAGAUUAAAAGGUGAGUGUAUGGGGUUUAAUCAAUCAUUAAUAGCUUCAAGCUAGCUAGUUAAUAGGAUGUGUAUGUAUGAAAAUGUCUUUCAAUUGGGCUUAUAAUUUUGAUAAACAAAUCACCAUACAGUCCUAAAUCAAUGUAUAAUCAUGGUACUUGGAAAAAAUGUAUAAUUAUUAUACAAAAGAAAGAAAUACAAUGAGGAAUAAAUUAAUGAACUUUAAUUUUGACAGACAACAAUUAAGUUGACCAAUUUUCCUUUCUAUCCACACUCUUUCUUUUCUAUUGAUGAGUAAUUUUGUGAACACAUUUUAGUGGAACAUGAUCCUCUUCGAAUUCAAACCAUUUGAAUUCUGCAGACCAAAUAAACUCUUCAGGUAAAAUCGUGCGGGCUGAGAUCACUCUUCCUCUUCAACUUUCUCACUAUUUCUCUUUCUCCUCAACAUCGUUGCCUUUUUCUCCGACAUCGAUCGACGAAGCAGAACCGUAGAGAAAGAAAAGAAGCAGAAGAUAAUGGGAGGGGUUGAAGGUCAGAAAAAUAUGUUGUGGGAAUUGGUGUGGGAGAGGUAGGGGGAGGUGAGUGAUGGUACGGAGGUUCGUAGGAUCUGUAGAGGUUCUGUACCCCAUUUUAGUCAUUUACUUGUUGUACUGAUAGGAUUUUUACCACACACACAAAGGGGUUAAAAACACCUAUAAUACUUGCAAGAAUGACAAGGAUAUUGUAGUAUAAAUGUUUCUAGCAAGGUUGUUCUCCACAAGGAUUAUUAAAUAAUUCGUAUCAAACCAAAUUUCAGUUAAUAAUUGUAAAGCAAAGAUUUGGGAUGAUUGAUUUUAUGACCUAAUUUAAUAAAAACAAAAUUAAUAAAUGAGAGUGGAAGAAUCUGCAAUAUUAAAGAUGAGGAAAAAGAAAUAGUUUUUAGAAGUCAAUUUGAGAAAGCACUAGGGUUUCCCUAUCACCUUAUCAAUCAUAUAUAGUUUUCCCAAUUACUUAUGACCUAUACAUGCAUAUUUUGAAUGUUAGGUUUUCUUAAUAUAUUCCUACUUGAACACCCAAUAUAGAAUGUAUAUCAAACAUGCAAUCUGUCUGUGGUAUUCAAAUCAAAUAUAAACAUGCAUGACUCAUUAAGUUCUGUGAAAUUAUUUGAAAACCAUGCAACCCUUAAGAUAUAGUAUUCAUCCUAAGUGAACUUGCACAUAUUAACCACAAGCAGCAUUCGUCAAUUUCAGGGACCGACCUCCAACCAAAAUUGCAUCAAAUUACUUUUAUAAAUAUCCUAAUGGCCAUGAAUCAUCAAGACACUAGAUAGUUUAAACCGGUGAUUAACAAUUCAAAACUUGCAUGCAUAAUAUCAUAAGCAAAUUAAUAUAUAUAUAUAUAUAUAUAUAUAUAUAUAUAUAUAUUUUGCUAAGGCUCGUGGCCUCGCCCUAGUAAAAAGGAAAUUAGUUACGCAUAUUCAUAACUAAAAUCAACAUAAAUUGUAAUGAAAUAAUAAAAGAUCGAAAACACCUUGAAUGUAAAAGUUUGAAAAUCUCUACACCUGGCCAAUUUCCUCUCCCAAUAUCGCAUGAAGAAGAAGAGAAAACUAGAGCCGGCCAAGCUUAUUUAUCCUACUAAAUUAAAUCCUCCUAAUAAAAGGUCUUCCAUCAAGACUAGGAAACCAAAUAAAUUAAAAUAAAAUAUGAAACAUAACCCUAAAUUAAAUGGUAAAAUUAGCCCAAAAUCUGCACAACCAAGUUUUGGACCCAUAUCUGCUCCAAAACCGGACCAAUAUAGCUAGAUUUAAAACUUGGAAUAUUCUGAACAGUUCUCCAGAAGACCACGAACUCAUCAGAGGUCAUCUCAGGCUCCAAAAAUCACAUUUAAGCCUAUAAACGUCAAUUUCCUACAACGUGCACUGCUUCUUUACUCUAAUGCCAGAAAAUAACCGUUUGGUAGAAAAAUCCCAAUUUUGAUAAAACACACCAAGGGAAACACGAACGUCCUCCAAUUUGAAUCACUCCAAAAUUCGUCCAUUUAAUCACGUUUUGCUCCAGGGGAAGUCGAAUGUCCUAUAUUGAAAAUACAAAGCAAAGUAUCAAAAUUUUACCAAAAUAAUUACAAAAACAUACUAAGAAUAUAGUAAAAUAUAUACUAUUAAAUUGACUCGUCAGGUACCAAAAAGAUUAAUAUAAUAAAUACUAAUUAACUAUCUCAUCAUAGGGUGAAUGAUAGACUAAUCUAGCAAAUGUGAAAAAAAAAGAGUAUAGAUUAUGAUUUAGUGACAAAUCCACCAUGAAGUCAACAUGCCAUCGACCGAAAAAAUUGGUGGGAAGCACCUUUGAUGACCCCCCCUGUGUCAUUUGGGUAGUAACCAAUUCAUGCACAUAAGGUGUUCGACAAAUGCAUGAGUGAGACAUAAUUUCGUCCGAUCAAGAUACAAAAUUUGAUCGGACAAAUUGUUAGAUUACAUGAUGUAUUGUUAGUUGAUAGAGUUGUUAGGCACUGCCAUGUGUCUCUAUUGUAUUGGUUAAUCUAGAAGUUAGUUGUGUGUGGUUGUAUUUAUAAAUAGGGCAAAGGAUGUAAUAGUGAAUGUAAUGAAAAGUAUCAGUUUCUCUCACUACUCUCUCUCUUCGAAUUCUUUCUUGCUUUCUCUGCAUUCCUCCAUAGCUAAAUCUCAGAGUUAUCAUGGUAUCAGAGCCUGCCAAGGUUAACACCAUUGGUUGAUGAUUCCUAUGCUUCCGCUCGUCUUUGUUGUUCUGGUGACGGUUUGUUGGUGUGUGUCGGUGGAAUUGACAAAACCCUAGAAUUUUUUUUUUUGGGGUUUCUUAAGCUCGUCGGUGGCAUUUCUUCUGUCGGUCGGUCUUUUCUUCGUCGUCGCUCGUUGAAUUCAUAGUCGCUACUUGGAUCUUUGGUUGGAUCCAUCUUCAAUUUGUCUCGUCGCUGCAGUUGAGGUGUUUUCUUUCGAUUUCUCUGUUUGAUUCGAUUCUUUACUGGUUCUUGAUUUGUUGAUUCUUGGCCAUUGUUGCUUUGUGAUUCUCUGUCUUUUGGAUUUGUUGAAUCUCUUAAUUCGUCAUAGUGACUACUACACAACUAGCACUCACACAAUCUCAUAUCUCUUCACUUAUAUCCAGUGUUGGAAACACUGUUACUGUGAAGUUGGAUGAUUCGAACUAUGUUACUUGGAACUUUCAGAUCGAAUUGUUGCUAGAAGGGAAUGGCAUUAUGGGGUUUGUUGAUGGGUCUAUUACUUGUCCUUCGAAAUAUGAUGAUUCAGGUUUUGAUGGUGAAUUGGUAGUUAAUAAUUCUUCAAUCACUGAUGCUUAUAAAGUUUGGAAAAUACAUGAUAAAGCUCUUAUGACUUUGCUUACUGCAACACUAUCUACUGCUGCUUUGUCUUGUGUAAUUGGUUGUCAAAGUUCACAAGAAAUGUGGAAUAAUCUUAAAGAGAGAUUUGCAAGUAUGACUCAUACUAGCAUUGUCCAAAUGAAGAUUGAUCUGCAAAACAUCAAGAAAGGGCCAGAAUCCAUUGAUCUGUAUUUGCAGAGAAUUAAAGAUUGUAGGGAUCAAUUAGCUACUGCUGGUGUUGUGAUUUUGAUGAGGAUAUUGUUAUUGUAGCUCUGAGAGGAUUACCUACAGAAUAUAAUAUCAUUAAGUCUAUCAUUCGAGGGAGAGAAAAUCUGGUUUCCUUAAAAGAGCUUCGAUCUCAGUUGAAGGCAAAAGAGUCUACAUUGGAAGAGGUCAUCAAGUCACCAUCUUUAAUGGCAGCUAUGCUUGCAAAUACUUCACGUCCAGUUUAUGACACUGGUGGCUCUUCUCAUACUAACACUCAUACUGGAAACUUUGAUUUUGGGUCCUAUGUUCAUUCUGGUUCAUAUAUGUCUCAGUUUCAGCCACUGCCCUUUCCUCCUACCAAUGGUCCUGUAGCAUUUGUCUCUCAGACUGGAUCUGGGACUUACAACAACUUUAGGGGCAAUAACUACAGGUUCAGGGGUAAAGGCAAGAAGUUCAAUACUGGCUUUCAUCAACCCUCUGGUUAUCAAGGCUCUGCACAACCUAAUUUUCAAUCGCAAUCUCAGUUUCAGAAUCCUGGCUCUCAGAUAGUUUCAGAUCAAUCAUUUCACCCUUUGCUCAUUUGUCAAAUAUGUGAUAAAAAGGGACAUGUAGCUCUCAACUGUUUUCAGAAUGGUUGUCAAAUCUGUCACCUUAAAGGACAUACUGCUGCCACCUGCUUUGACAGACUCAAUUCUGCACCUGUUUCUGUGCCUCAAUCUCAGCACUUCUCUCAAUCUCCCAAUGUGAUUCAGCAGCAUCCAUUUCAAUCUUCACAUCCAUUUUAGCCUCAAGUACAGAAUCCUAAUAUGGUGUCUAAUUCUCAGUAUUCCAAUGGGAUGUUAUCUCCUCACCUUGGGUCCACCGGUGCCUUUACUGCAAGAACCACCUUCUCUCCAACAGCACCACAGCAAGAGUAUUGGUUACUUGGAGCAACCAAUCAUAUGACAUCUGGUCUGUCCAAUUUGCAAGCUACCACUCCCUUAUUCUUCAUCAGAGACAGUUACUAGUGCUAGUGGUAAAGGUUUACAAAUUAAACAUAUUGGUCAAGCUCAUUUAUCUAAUUCAUCACAUACACUUGAGUUCAAAUCUGUGUUAUAUGUUCCACACUUAUCACAACACUUAUUGUCUAUGCAUCAAUUGUGCAAAGACAAGAAUUGUAGGUGUAUUGUUGAUGAAUUCUCUGUGUGUAUAUAGGACAAGGUCACCAACAAGGUACUAUAUCAAGGACUGAGUAACUAAGCUGUCUAUCCACUUCCCAUUCUCAAACAACCAAAGCCAACUUCUGCAGCUUUCCUUGGACAGAAAAUAAAUACAUCUCUUUGGCAUUGCAGAUUGGGUCAUCCAACCAACUCUGUAACUCAAGUAGCCUUUAGUAAGUCAGAUAUUAAAAUUCCCUGUACUUCCUCAUCUCAAACUUGUAUUGAUUGCUUACAAGGCAAGUUUACCAAGUUCCCUUUUCCCUUAAUGGCUUCAAAGUCUCUUGUUCAUUUUGAAGUCAUUCAUACUGAUGUAUGGGGUCCCUCUCCUAAUAAGUCUUUAGAAGGGUAUAGCUAUUAUGUGUCGUUUAUAGAUGAAUGUACACGAUAUACAUGGAUAUUUCCCAUGAUUAAUAAAGUUGUUGUCUUUGAGAUAUUUAUGCAAUUCCAAGCUUAUAUUCAUACCUACUUUUCUGCACAUAUUAAAGUACUACAGAGUGAUGGUGGGGGAGAGUAUACUAGCAUUCUAUUUCAAAAUUUUCUUAAAUCUAAAGGGAUUGUACACCAAAAAUCAUGCCCCUACACUCCUGAGUAGAUGGUUUAGCUGAGAGAAAGAAUAGGCAUCUUGUUGAAACUGCUAUUACAUUACUUCAAAAAGCUUCCCUUUCACCUAAGUUUUGGUUUCAUGCCUGUGCUACAACUACUUAUCUUAUUAAUAGAAUGCCUACCUCUGUGUUAAAGAUGCAGUCUCCAUUUGAGAUGUUGUUUAAGUCUCCUCCUCAUCUUGAACAUUUAAGGAUUUUUGGCUGUGCUUGUUACCCUCCCCUGAAACCAUAUUGCCACCAUAAACUGGAACCUAAAACCAUACAAUGCAUCUUCUUGGGGUAUGCUGCUCAAUAUAAGGGGUAUAUUUGUUAUGCUCACAAGGAUAACAAGCUUAUUGUGUCCAGGCAUGUAUUGUUUGAUGAAACGGUUUUUCCUAGUGCUCAUGGGUGUCCACCUCUUGUCUCAAGUCUGAUCGAUUACCUCAACCAUAUCCAGUCUUGAUUAGUCACCCUAAUACCUUUCAUCAUCCUCCAAUUAUCCCAAUACCAUUUCCACAUCUAUCAUCCUCUUCUCAAGUCCCUGUUACUCAGUUCUAUUCUCACACACUUGAUGAUCUUAUCUCUCCUGGAGGUUCAAUUGUCUCAGAUUCUACAUCUUCGUUGGUGUCCUCUGAAAAACAAUCCUGAUGUGACUACCUCUCAAGUUCCAAAUUUGCAACAAGUUCUUGUGCUCAAUAUUAACACACAUCCCAUGUAAACAAGGUCCAAGUCUGGGAUAUCUAAAAAGAAGGUAUUCUCUGUUACCUUGCCACUCGAUUCCUCUCUGGAUAGGGAACCUCAGUCUUUCAGUGCUGCUUCAAAGUGUUCUCAGUGGAACUGUGCAAUGAAUGAGGAGAUUGAGGCUUUUCUUAAACAGAAAACAUGGACCUUAGUUCCACUUCCACCUCACAAGAACUUGGUGGGUUGUAAGUGGAUUUAUAAGGUUAAAAGACAUCUUGAUGGUUCUGUUGCAAGGUAUAAGGCUCGGUUAGUGGCCAGGGGGUUCUCUCAGGAAGCUAGCCUAGAUUAUUAUGAGACUUUUAGCCCUGUAGUUAAACCUACUACAGUCAGAUUGAUAAUCCUUGGCUGCUACAAAGGGAUGGAAACUUAAACAAUUAGAUGUCAAAAAUGCGUUUCUGCAUGGAUUUCUAGAUGAAGAAGUGUAUAUGUCUCAACCACAGGGGUUUAUUGACAAGGAUCAUCCAGAGUUUGUGUGCAAGCUGAAAGGUCUUUGUAUGGCCUCAAACAGGCUCCCCGAGCAUGGAAUGAGAGGUUUUCCCGAUUUCUUCUGAGUUUGGUGGUUUUAAAGCAUCAUAUGCUGAUCCGUCUUUAUAUGUCAAACAUAAUGGUCAUUCCAUUGUUGUGUUGCUCCUCUAUGUUGAUGACAUUAUACUCAGUGGUGAUGAUGAUUCCCAUGUUCAAUAUGUGAUACACCAAUUAACUAGGGAGUUUGAUAUAAAGGAUUUAGGAAUUCUCCAAUAUUUUCUUGGUCUGCAAAUUGAGUAUCAAUCUCAGGGAAUACUUGUUCAUCAGUCUAAAUAUAUCAAGGACUUGUUGCACAAGAAAAAUAUGCUAAACAGUAAGCCUUGUACCACUUAUUGUCAUCCUCAUCACAAGCUCUUCACUCAUGGUAAUCCUCCAUUUCCUGAUCCAGGUAUUUACCGAAGUAUAGUUGGUGCUCUCCAGUAUUUGACUUUUACUAGACCUAAUAUAGCUUAUUCGGUUAAUCAAGUCUGUCAAUUCAUGCAUUCUCCACUUAAAAGUCAUUUUGUUGCGAUCAAGCGAAUCUUGAGGUAUCUCAAAGGGACUAUGCAGCUUGGAUUGUGUUUUAAACCUGGAAAUUUGGAUAUUAGAGCUUACACCGAUGCUGAUUGGGCUGGGGAUCCCAAUGACAGAAGGUCAACAACUGGUUUCGUUGUGUUUUUAGGUCCCAAUCCUAUUUCUUGGAGUUCAAAGAAACAACAUACUGUUAGUCGGUCUUCUACUGAGGCCGAGUAUCGAGCAAUGGCAACUACAACUGUUAAGGUGGUAUGGCUUCAACAAUUACUCAAGGAUCUGUCUCUUUCAUCUUCAGUUACACCAUUGCUGCAUUGCGACAACAUAUCUGCCAUGGCUCUAGCAACUAAUCCCGUCUUGGAUUCUAAAGCUAAACACAUCGAAAUAGACUGCCAUUUUGCGUGAAAAGGUUCAGCAAGGCACAAUUUUGUUACAGUUUGUGGCAUCAUCGGAGCAGUUUGUGGCAUCAUCGAAGCAGUUUGCUGAUAUACUUACCAAGGGUUUGUGUUUUCCAUUGUUUAGUUCUCAUUGUUCCAAUCUUAUGCUUGGGAAUGCCUAGCAUAAGAUUGAGGGGGAAUGUUAGAUUACAUGAUGUAUUGUUAGUUGAUAGAGUUGUUAGGCACUGCCAUGUGUCUCUAUUGUAUUGGUUAAUCUAGAAGUUAGUUGUAUAUGGUUGUAUUUAUAAAUAGGACAAAGGAUGUAAUAGUGAAUGUAAUGAAAAGUAUCAGUUUCUCUCACUACUCUCUCUCUUCGAAUUCUCUGUUGCUUUCUCUGCAUUCCUCCAUAGCUAAAUCUCAGAGUUAUCACAAACCUGGUCAGCGUUUAAGUUUUUGUCAAGGACUUUGCGUGAUGAAAUUCGAAGGUUAAAGUAAAGUUCGUCAGGUAAAGUAAGUUUUUCAGGAAUGUGUAUUGUAUUGUGUCACCCUUUGCCCGACGAAAAACCAGUUCAUCAGCUUUUGGAAUGUUGCCCGAUGAAAGAUUUUGUUGGGUAAAGUGUUAUAUGUGUCGGCAAAGUUCCAUGAUGACCUAUCAAAAAAUCCACCGACACUUUUUUGCUUGACAUCGUUGUUAUUCGUCAAGCAAAACCCAAUUCAUUAAAACAGGCCAUGCAGCCUUCUUUUUCUCUUUCUCCUUUCUUUCUUCUUCCCCCCUGCGCGCUACUCUUCAUGCUCUGCAAGUCUGCUCUCUCUCUUUCACACAUCUUACACCCUUCUCAUACCAACCUCAUCACCCAUCUCUCACUCUCCCUCUCCCAAUUAAUUUAAGGUUUUUUUUAUUUAUUAAAUACUUUUUGUGUAAUUGUGUAAUUAAUUAUGUUUGGUUUUUGUAGGUUUGUGAUUGAAUUGGAAGAAAAUUAAAGGAAAGGUAUGUAUUUGUCUCUCAAUUUAAUUUUAUAGGAAAUUUUAAUUUGUCUAAUUGGGUUAUAUAUAUAUAUAUGUGUGUGUGUGUGUGUGUGUGUUGAAAUUGUGGGUUAUGUGAAAUUUUGGAUUUGUGUGUUAUUGAAACAUAUGUACUUAGGUGAACUUAAUUUGUGUACCAUUAGCCUAGGAAUCGCAGUGUAAAAUUUGUUGAAAUUCAUAAUGGUUUAUACGAAGUUUUGGACAUGUGGUGAAUGAUGCUCGCUAUUUUAUGCAUACAAUUCCCUAAACAAAGCUCGUCUACACCUGAUGGAGGCAAACAAGGUUGCUCAUAGACUGGCACGAUUGGGUCUAACUUUAGAUCAACGAUUUGGUUUGAGGAACCUCCUGAUGUAAUCACAUACCUUAUUUUGGAAGAUGGUACAACUCUGUCAUUUGUUGCGGGAUGCUCAUUUUCCUUCGAUUGAGUUGAAAUCUCAGGAAAGGUUUUUAUCGAGACCCACAUAAAUGCACCCUAUCCUCCAACAUAUAUGUAUUCUUUUCGUCAUAUCAAUGAAUAUCCUACUUCAUCUAAACAAAACAGGAAUUUGAAUAUAAUGUUUUUUUUAAUAGUGGUAUCAAUCUUUUAAAACAUUUCAGAUAAUGAAUCUAUAUCUUUGAUAAUGAACAUCCGUUAGACCAUCUCCAAACCUGUGCUAAAAGCCAAAUUACCUCCCAAAUUACCCCCCCAAACACUCUCCAACCCAUGUUAAAAUUUUAGGCUAAAUGCCAAAUGUUAUUUCUGGGCCAAAUACCCCCCCCAGCUUUCCCCCUGGGCUAAAUGCCAAAUGUUUAUCGGAAUUUAAUUUUUUUUAGAUUAAAAUGUUCAUAAAAUUAAUUUACAAUAAUCUACAUUUAAAAAAAAAAUUGAUUUAAGAAAAAAAUUAGCCUAAGUUCAUUCUUUAAUAAUUCCGGACUAAAAUUUUAGGGUAGAAGGGUUGGAGCAGAAAAGAUGUUUUUGGGCUAAAAGCCAAAUUUUCCGGGCUAAAAAAUUUGGCUUUUAGCCCAAGGGUUGGAGAUGGUCUUAGGGGGGGGACAAAUAUUGAAGUUAAUUUUCAUUGAUAGUCAUCUUUCAAGCUCUAAAUCUUUAAACCAACAUUCAAACUGUUAAACUCGAUAACCGUGGAUAACCGUCCGAAUGAAACAGAUUUGGGGAUGAAAAUUCGGUUAUAUUUCGGAUAUGGGGAAAACCGAAAAUAUUAUUUGGUUAUGUUUAUAGGGGUCCCUGAUCCCUAUAUGUCCCCGAAACCGACCCAAAUAAUACAUUUUAUAUAUAAUAUAAAUUAUAUUAAUAAAUAUAGUAUUGUAUAAUAUAAAUAUGGGAUAGGAUCAAGGAACAAAUAUUUUUACAAAUACUUUUAGACUCUUUUUAAGCCUUUUGAUUACAUGACAUCCAAGGGUUCUUAUUUAUUCAUUAAAUUACAUGGAUGCUUAUGUGGAUUUUAACUAAUAUUAAAGAUUAAAAAAAACAUAAAAUCUGGAAAAUUAAAAAUAUAAUUAAAAAAAGAAGAUAAUUUAACUAAAAUUGGUUCUCCCAUUCCCAUUUCGAUCAAGACUUGGAUUCAGACUUUGAACCCUAAUAAAAAAAUCAUGAAACUAUUGUAACCGUGCAAAAGAAACCCUAAAUAGACUUUUAACUAAUAUUAGUCGUGCAAAAGAAAUCCCCCUCAAAAACCUAGGUGUUGUCGAAGGCCUGCAGCCCACGUUUCAAGUGGCUCACCAUUAUCGUCUUGGAACUGUCGCUCUUUGGUAUGUUCUCAAUUAUGUUCAAUUCAUAUCUUCCAAAUCGUCUUCUUGAAUUUUGUUGUAAUAGUCGUCUUAUUUGAAUUUUGUCAUCUGAAUUGUGCUCUUGAAUUUUGUUAUAUAACUUAUGUUCUUUGAAUUUUGUUAUCUGAACUAUGUAAUCUCGUUAUUAAAGAGAAUAACACGGACACAAAUCUGCAAUUCCGACGUAAUUUACUCAUUGCCCAAAAUUCUAUACUUUCCUGCAUUCUAAAAUAUUUGUUGUAUCAUUCUCUUUUAUUACUUGUCAUCUUUGACUACACCAGUCAACUCUGUUAUUUGAAUUGUUCCCUAAUUGAAUUUUAUGAUAAUUUACAGUGAAAUUCGAAAAUACUAGAAGAGCACUGAACUUUUUACGUUCAAAAUAAUCUCACAUCAGAUAUUGGAGCGGCACAGUGCCACCAGUCCUGUAGUAAAUGUCAGGUUCAUGCUGUUUUUGCACCCUGAGAAUUAUUCGAACUUCACCUUCCAUAAGAGAAAGCCUGAUGAGAGAUUCCUGGAUGGCUGUCGGUCUUCUAUCCAUUCCCACAACUAGUACUGCUCGAAAAUUAUCUGCUUGGAAAACGUUGCAAUCCCUCAACAUUGUAUACGCACACACACAGAUAUACAUUUUAUGUUCAUUUUCAGUUUUAUUUUACUUUUAUUAUUAGUUAAAAUCCACAUAAGCAUCCAUGCCAUUUAAUGAAUAAAUAAGAACCAUUGGAUGUCAUAUAAUCAAAAGGCUUAAAAAGAGUGUGAAAAUAUUUGUCCCUUGAUCCUAUACCUAUAAAUAUAUAUUUAUAUAUAUUCACCACAUCCAUUAAUAAAUAAAUAUAGUAUUGUAUAUAAUAUAUAUAUAUAUAUAUAUAUAUAUUCACCGCAUCCAUUAACUUGAGAAUUACAAAAGUUGCGUUUGGUGAGAAAGUUCAAAAGUUUUUGGUAUCUACUAAAUAAUAAUGCCUCAAUUAAACAAAUAUAUUUUUGGUAUUGACGAAGAUGAAUAUAACCGUUAACCGAUGUGAAAUCUGUUACCUGGUGGGUAUGGUUAUGAAUUUUCGAUGGUCAAUUUGCAGUUAUGGAUAUGGUUAAUUUUCAUGAUUAUAGGAAUGGAUAUAACAUUUCCGUCCCAAACCGAACCGUUGUCAUCCAUAUGUGCAAGUGGAUACAUAGUAUAUAUAUUUUAAUGUGCUCUGAUAUAGAAAAUUGAGCUCUCAGCGCAUUUGUGUUUUAGUCACCCACCAGAAUUUCUUAUUUUUAUUUUUUUUACAUUAUUUCAAGGGAACUUUAACGAAAAAUUCCCGGUACUGUUCACUUUAACGAAAAAUCACAUUUUUACACUAAAAAGUCAAUCCUGGUACUAUUCACUUUACCAUUUAUUUUGUCCUUAUCAUUAAAACUCAAAGUUUUCAAGCCCUUUUCAUUAGUUUUCCUUUAUUUGAAUUUAUAUAUAAUCAUAAAAAUUAAAAUGUAAAAGAAAAUAUAGCAACCAAAAUGUUAGACCUUAGAAGAGCUUUUUUUUGGGUAUUUAAAAGCAAGAAGGUUGGAACUCAAAACCAUAAAGAAUGCAAAUAGGUGGUUUAUCUCAAUUUAUACAUAAUCAUAAAAAUUAAAAUGUAAAAGAAAACAUAGCAACCAAAAUGUUAGACCUUAGAAGGGCUUUUAUUUUGGUAUUUAAAAGUAAGAAGGUUUGAACCCAAAAACAUAAAGAAUGCAAAUAGAAGCCACCACACUAAGAUAUAUAUAUAUAUAUAUAUAUAUUCAUUAUCUCUGUUUAUACAUAAUCAUACAAAUAAAUUUGUGUAAAAAAAAAACAUAGCAACCAAAAUGUUAGACCUUAAGGAAUUUCGAACCAAAAAACAUAAAAGAUGCAAAUAGAUAUCUAGCCACCACAUCAAGAAUUUUUUUUUUCUUUCUUCACAUUAUUCAAGUUAUACACAAUUAUAAAAAAUAAAAUGUAAAAGAAAAUAUAUCAACCAAAAUUUUAGAAGAGCCUUUGUUGGAGUCUCACACAGGACCCCCAAAUUCUUAGGACCGACCCUGUUUUUUAGCCAACUUGCACCUUAAAUCUGCUUCACUAAAAAGAAUCGAUUUAGAUAUUCAAAACUCCAUAAAUAACGUGAGAGCUAAUACCUACUUUAAUAUUUGCGGAUGCCCUAAUAAAUGUCUAAUCUUCAAAAAUGUUUAGUUAGGUAGAACGUUUUUAUAAUUGUCUAAUAAUCGUUAAAAUAUUGUUGAAUAAACAGUAACUUCUAUUGCCUUUAGAUAGAUACUAGAAAGUUUUGCCCAUGCAUUGGUGCGGGAUUAAAAAUUGCGUAAAAAAUUAUGUUAAAAAAGUAUAAGGGGUUUGUGUGACAGAAGAUUAAUGCUAUUUGUGUUCACAAUGUUAAGCAAAUUUUCACAUAUGAAAUAUUUUAAUGAUACAAUUUAAUCAGAAAUUGUUUGCAGCCUUCUUCUUUGCAUCAGUGGUUUUGCUAACCUUUCAAAAUUUUAAAAAUAACAAAAACCAACCAUUACUAUUAUGCUUCUUACUGUAAUCAAGUUUCAUGAUUCUAAAUAAAACCAGAGGAACAUAUAAACACAAAAAGAAUAGAGUAAAAAUAUAUCGUUUAAGAGUUUACUUCAUCUUUGAAUACUGAAAGUAAGAAUAUAGAGAGGAAUUUCAGUAUAGAAAAUUUAAAAUAUACCUGCUAAGUAAAGCUACAAUCCUAAGAUGCAUUCAGAAUAAAUUUGAUGUUUUUACAUUGUAUAUCAACGUUUAAAAGCUGUGCAACAAAAAGCAAAACAAAAUUUCACAAAUUAUUGAAAUAAAAUUCAGCAACCAAUUCCCUAAAAGCCGAAAAAGGUGAGAAUAGUGUACAGGUCGAUGUCCAAGUCGUUAUCGAGAGCUUUGGUCACUGAUUCUGGCUACUUGGGUAAAAGAUCUUCAAGAGAAAAGUAGGCAUUUUCACAACUAACCUGAGAAGUGAAUUUGACAUCCAAAAUUGGAAUUUCAAAACCCACCAUAGAAGCAACAUAUGAAAACAACAAAGAAGAAAUCUAGCGAAAGUUAUUUUCUGAUAAGUAUUCUAACAACCAAAGCAAUUUCCAACUUCAACAUUGAAAACGAAAGCCUACAGAGCUUAUCAAUCACUCAUAGUGAUGCUUAGACCCAACAGUUUCUGACGCGACACGGUGACACGACACGAAAACGACACGAAAAUAACGAUUUUCGGGUCAACACGAUAACUUAUCGGGUCAUUAUUGGGUGGUCCGUUAAGAACCCGUUAAUAAUGGGUUCUUAACAGGUAUACACGCAGGUAACACGUGGGUAAUCCGUUUCAACCCACAACAACAACAACAACAACAAAGCCUUUUCCCACUAAGUGGGGUCGGCUAUAUGAAUCCUAGAACGCCAUUGCGCUCGGUUUUGUGUCAUGUCCUCCGUUAGAUCCAAGUACUCUAAGUCUUUUCUUAGAGUCUCUUCCAAAGUUUUCCUAGGUCUUCCUCUACCCCUUCGGCCCUGAACCUCUGUCCCGUAGUCACAUCUUCGAACCGGAGCGUCAGUCGGCCUUCUUUGCACAUGUCCAAAUCACCGGAGCCGAUUUUCUCUCAUCUUUCCUACAAUUUCGGCUACUCCUACUUUACCUCGGAUAUCUUCAUUCCUCAAUCUUAUCCUUUCUCGUGUGCCCACACAUCCCACAAAGCAUCCUCAUCUCCGCUACACCCAUUUUGUGUACGUGUUGAUGCUUCACCGCCCAACAUUCUGUGCCAUACAACAUCGCUGGCCUUAUUGCCGUCCUAUAAAAUUUUCCCUUGAGCUUCAGCGGUCACGGUCACACAACAUGCCGGAUGCACUCUUACACUUCAUCCAUCCAGCUCGUAUUCUAUGGUUGAGAUCUUCAUCUCAAUUCUCCGUUCUCUUGCAAGAUAGAUCCUAGGUAGCGAAAACGGUCGCUUUUUGUGAUCUUCGCUAGAAUUGCUCCGGUCAUUAGUGUGGAUAAGUAUAUAAAUGGAUAGAGAUAGGAAAGCAAACACAAGAUGUACGUGGUUCACCCAGAUUGGCUACGUCCACGGAAUAGAAGAGUUCUCAUUAAUUGUGAAGGGUUUACACAAGUACAUAGGUUCAAGCUCUCCUUUAGUGAGUACAAGUGAAUGAUUUAGUACAAAUGACAUUAGGAAAUAUUGUGGGCGAAUGAUCUCGUAAUCACACGAAACUUCUAAGUAUCGGAGUGUGGUAUCAUCUUGACUUGCCUUAUCUGUCUCAUAGGUAGAUGUGGCAUCUUCUCUGGAAGUACUCUUCCUCCAUCCAGGGGUGAUAUCUUUAACUGGUGGAGAUGCACAAGGUAAUGUAUCAAUUUCACUUGAAGCUUACUUGUAGUUUCAGGCUUGGUCAAGCGCGAUACAAACCAUGUAGUAGGAGUCCCCCAAGUCGCCGAAGCUAGGGGGUCUUGCUGAAAGAGGUGACAGACAAGGUAAGCAAUCAGAGCUCCGACCGAUUGUUCACCUUCUCCCCAUCUUGCAGCAGCAUGAAGAUAAAGAGAAGAAAAAUGAGAAGAGAUGAUAUGAGGAUACUUUUGCUUUUGAAGAAGUAACUUUCCACAGGCUUAUUCUUGAACUGAGCUGGAGGGUUUUCUGGUUUCCUCCAGAGUAUAAGGCCGACUGAAGAAUUUGAGGGUCAAAACAAGUCCAUCAAAUCUAGAGUACGUUUCGACCCUGCUGAUAUGGGAUACUUUUGCUUUUGACAGAGUAAUGGAUGUAUCGGCAUGUGUGCUGUUACGCUUGUCUCCACAUGCUUCCUUGUAUCCUUCGCACUUGCCCUAUCUGUUCCUCAAGCAGAUGCGGAAUCUUCCCUGGAAACAUAAGAUGUUGAAGAUGAGUACUCGAGAGCAAUGCCAGGUAAGUAAUCAGGUAAGGGGUUCCAGGCAGUCAGUUCCUGGCUGGAAGCUUGAUUUCCAAGUGCUGACUGAUUGCUCUCUUUCUCCUUGUCUUGCAGGUAAAAACAAGGCCAAAGGAAAAGACAGGGAAAAAGCAUGAUAUGGGAUACUCUUGCUUUUAACCUUGAUGAUAUGAGAUAUUCUUGCUCUAGUAUAGCUUGUUUGCAGAGGUAUUAUCGGGGGGAAAGAAAGCUGAAUAUUUCGAAAGGCUUCGUUGGGAGUGCCCUCUCAGAUAUGAUGAAGGGUUGAGCAUUUUUGCAGGUCUGCCUGUCCGUUGGGGAUGGAGGUCGACAUAUAUAGGAGUCUCCCUAACAACAAGUAGUAAUGCUAUUCAUUUACCCUGCUUGGUCAUAGCACGGUAGUGGGAGCUGCCAGUUUCACAUGUUUUAACUCUGUCAGAGCACUUUGAAAAAGUGGUCUGUGGUAUCUGGCUCUCGAGAUUCGGAGAGCGAUGCCUUCUUCGAUUUUUGAGAAAGCAAUCAUGAUGGGGGUCUGGCUCUCGAGAUUCGGAGAGCAGUGUCUCUUCGAUUUUUGAGGAAGUAAUCAUGUUGGGAGUCUGGCUCUCGAGAUUCGGAGGGCGGUGCCUCUUCGAUUUUGGAGCAAGCAAUCCUGUUGGGAGUGUUGUCUCGAAUGUGAGUAAAGGUUGGGCAUGUUUGCUAGUCUACCUUGCCCCGAAGCACAAAGGUUGACACACAGGAACUUUGCAAUUAUCUAGCAAUGGUACUGUUCCUUUACCCUCUCUUCGCUUUUGAGAAAGUAGUCAUGUUGGGAGUCUGGCUCUCAAGAUUCGGAGGACGGUGCCUCUUCGAUUUUGGAGCAAGCAAUUUUGUUGGGAGUGUUUUCUCGAAUGUGAGUAAAGGUUGGGCAUGUUUGCUAGUCUACCUUGCCACGAAGCACAGAGGUUGACACACAGGAACUUUCCAAUUAUCCAGCAAUGGUACUGUUCCUUUACCCUUGUGGGUAAUAAUAUGGUAGCUAGACCUUCAAAAUUUAUGUGUCUAAACUUUGUUAGUGCUGUUUCUUUGCUAUUCUUUUACCUUUCUUGGUCAGAGCGAUAUAGUGGGAGCUGCAAGCUUCACGUGCUCAACUUUGGCAGAGAACUUUGACAAAGUUAUCUGUGGUACCCAUGAGCUAUUGUUGCGUGUGGGAAGUGGGUGAUUGAACAGUAAGAUUCAUGUGCUUUCUACUUCACCAGAAGUCUUCGACAGAAUGCCCAUAAUUUCUGCAAAGCUGAGUGUGCGUGUGACAGGUGCUGACAAGGCUAGAAUAGUAGGUGCCUCUUCGAUUUCUGAGAUUGGCCCUCGUGGUCUCUGAGCAGCCCAGCUUUUGAGAAAGCGAGCGCCUCUUCGAUUGAUUUGGAGAACGAUGCCUCUAUCGAUUUUUGAGAAAGCAAUCAUGCUGGGGCUCUGGCUCUUGAAGAUUCGGGGAGCAGUGUCUCUUCGAUUUUUGAGAAAGUAAUCAUGUUGGGAGUCUGGCUCUCGAGAUUCGGAGGGCGGUGCCUCUUCGAUUUUGGAGCAAGCAAUCUUGUUGGGAGUGUUUUCUCGAAUGUGAGUAAAGGUUGGGCAUGUUUGCUAGUCUACCUUGCCACGAAGCACAGAGGUUGACACACAGGGACUUUCCAAUUAUCCAGCAAUGAUACUGUUCCUUUACCCUCUCUUCGAUUUUUAAGAAAGUAGUCAUGUUGGGAGUCUGGCUCUCGAGAUUCGGAGGACGGUGCCUCUUCGAUUUUGGAGCAAGCAAUCUUAUUGGGAGUGUUUUUCUCGAAUGUGAGUAAAGGUUGGGCAUGUUUGCUAGUCUACCUUGCCACGAAGGCACAGAGGUUGACACACAGGGACUUUCCAAUUAUCCAGCAGUGGUACUGUUCCUUUACCCUUGUGGGUAAUAAUAUGGUAGCUAGACCUUCAAAAUUUAUGGGUCUAAACUUUGUUAGUGCUGUUUCUUUGCUAUUCUUUUACCCUUCUUGGUCAGAGCGAUGUAGUGGGAGCUGCAAGCUUCACGUGCUCAACUUUGGCAGAGAACUUUGGCAAAGUUAUCUGUGGUACCCAUGAGCUAUUGUUGCGUGUGGGAAGAGGGUGAUUGAACAGUAAGAUUCAUGUGAGUUUUCUACUUCCCCAGAAGUCUUCGACAGAAUGCCCCAUAAUUUCCGCAAAGCUGAGUGUGCGUGUGACAGGUACUGACAAGGCUGGAAAAGUAGGUGCCUCUUCGAUUUCUGAGAUCGGCCCUCGUGGUCUCUGGGGAGCCCAGCUUUUGAGAAAGCGAGCGCCUCUUCGAGAUCGACCUUCGUGGUCUUAGAGCAGCCCAACUUUUGAGAAAGCAAACGCCUCUUCGAUUUCUGAGCAGGCGCCUCUUCGAUUUCUGAAGCUCCGUCGAGUGCAGAUUUUUAUAGGGGCUGGCAUUAAGUUCCAAAGCACACUUGAAUCUCCACCAGUAGAAGCUUCAUUCUUGCACUUCUAAGAUCUUGAUUUGUCCGACCUCUUCUCUCUUCAACACCUUUGAAAAUGUCUGGCCCCUCCGACCGUCGUUUUGACUUGAACCUUGUUGAAGAGGCAGCCCCGCCUUCUCCAGACAACAUAUGGCGCCCAUCCUUCGUCUCCCCUACUGGUCCUCUUACCGUUGGGGAUUCCGUGAUGAAGAAUGAUAUGACCGCUGCGGUGGUGGCCAGGAACCUUCUCACCCCAAAAGAUAACAGACUACUUUCCAAACGGUCUGAUGAGUUAGCUGUUAAGGAUUCGCUGGCUCUCAGUGUUCAGUGUGCAGGUUCUGUGUCUAAUAUGGCCCAACGCCUAUUUGCUCGAACCCGCCAAGUUGAAUCAUUGGCGGCUGAAGUGAUGAGUCUCAAACAGGAGAUUAGAGGGCUCAAGCAUGAGAAUAAACAGUUGCACCGGCUCGCACAUGACUAUGCUACAAACAUGAAGAGGAAGCUUGACCAGAUGAAGGAAACUGAUGGUCAGGUUUUACUUGAUCAUCAGAGAUUUGUGGGUUUGUUCCAAAGGCAUUUAUUGCCUUCGUCUUCUGGGGCUGUACCGCGUAAUGAAGCUCCGAAUGAUCAACCUCUGAUGCCUCCUCCUUCUAGGGUUCUGUCCAGUACUGAAGGCUCCAAAUGAUCCCCCUCCGGUGCCUUCUCUUUCUGGGGCUCUACCGACUGCUGAGACUUCUCCUAAGCAACCUUUGUGAAGGCUCCCUCUUGUGUGUUUAUUUUGACUCAUGUAUAUGUACAUAUUUGUAGCUUAUCGGGGAUAUCAAUAAAUAAGCUUUCCUUCAUUUCAACUUAUUGUGUUAAAUACACCAAAGCCUUCUUCGCUAAGUUCUUUGAAUUUUCUUUUGUUGAAGCUUGUAUGUUGAAGCUUUCUUAGUGGAGCAUGUAGGUUGGGGUAGUGUUCCCUUAAUUUCCCGAGUGAGGAAAACUUCUCGGUUGGAGACUUGGAAAAUCCAAGUCACUGAGUGGGAUCGGCUAUAUGAAUCUUAGAACGCCAUUGUGCU
RNAcentral lists this long non-coding RNA (37260 nucleotides) under Malus domestica (apple). RNAcentral's name for it is "long non-coding RNA (MDOM_LNC010724)". The record is from RNAcentral. Lineage: Eukaryota; Viridiplantae; Streptophyta; Magnoliopsida; Rosales; Rosaceae.